Molecule: transfer RNA, 69 nt
Filed under: Lachnospiraceae bacterium
Lineage: Bacteria; Bacillati; Bacillota; Clostridia; Lachnospirales; Lachnospiraceae
Description: tRNA-Trp
Rfam family: tRNA
About the family: Transfer RNA (tRNA) molecules are approximately 80 nucleotides in length. Their secondary structure includes four short double-helical elements and three loops (D, anti-codon, and T loops). Further hydrogen bonds mediate the characteristic L-shaped molecular structure. tRNAs have two regions of fundamental functional importance: the anti-codon, which is responsible for specific mRNA codon recognition, and the 3' end, to which the tRNAs corresponding amino acid is attached (by aminoacyl-tRNA synthetases). tRNAs cope with the degeneracy of the genetic code in two manners: having more than one tRNA (with a specific anti-codon) for a particular amino acid; and 'wobble' base-pairing, i.e. permitting non-standard base-pairing at the 3rd anti-codon position.
Source: RNAcentral
AGGGCUUUACAGCGGUAGUACGGCGGUCUCCAAAACCGUUAACGGGGGUUCGAUUCCCUCUUCCCCUGC